Molecule: ribosomal RNA, 253 nt
Filed under: uncultured bacterium
Lineage: Bacteria
Description: partial 16S ribosomal RNA
Rfam family: Bacterial small subunit ribosomal RNA
Source: RNAcentral
UACGUAGGGUGCGAGCGUUGUCCGGAAUUAUUGGGCGUAAAGGGCUCGUAGGCGGUUUGUCGCGUCGGGAGUGAAAUCCACUGGCUUAACUGGUGGCUUGCUUUCGAUACGGGCAGACUGGAGGUAUGCAGGGGAGAACGGAAUUCCUGGUGUAGCGGUGAAAUGCGCAGAUAUCAGGAGGAACACCGGUGGCGAAGGCGGUUCUCUGGGCAGUAACUGACGCUGAGGAGCGAAAGCGUGGGGAGCGAACAGG